UGAGGAAUAUUGGACAAUGGAUGGAAAUCUGAUCCAGCCAUGCCGCGUGCAGGAAGACGGCCCUAUGGGUUGUAAACUGCUUUUGUAUGGGAGCAAUAAGGACUACGUGUAGUUUGAUGAGAGUACCAUACGAAUAAGCAUCGGCUAACUCCGUGCCAGCAGCCGCGGUAAUACGGAGGAUGCGAGCGUUAUCCGGAUUUAUUGGGUUUAAAGGGUGCGCAGGCGGGAUGUUAAGUCGGCGGUGAAAUUUUGCAGCUCAACUGUAAAAGUGCCUUCGAUACUGGCCUUCUUGAGUGUGGAUGAAGUAGGCGGAAUUUGUGGUGUAGCGGUGAAAUGCUUAGAUAUCACGCAGAACUCCGAUUGCGAAGGCAGCUUACUAGGCUACAACUGACACUGAAGCACGAAAGCGUGGGGAUCAAACA
RNAcentral lists this ribosomal RNA (422 nucleotides) under uncultured bacterium. RNAcentral describes it as "bacterial SSU rRNA". It matches the Rfam family "Bacterial small subunit ribosomal RNA", at positions 355 to 774 of the family's 1533-position model. The record is from RNAcentral.